Molecule: long non-coding RNA, 2593 nt
Organism: Populus nigra (black poplar)
Lineage: Eukaryota; Viridiplantae; Streptophyta; Magnoliopsida; Malpighiales; Salicaceae
Exons: 2
Source: RefSeq, a predicted model, not a curated record
UUCUUAGAGAGCAAACCGUGAGAGAGAAGGGAGGAAGAAGAAGAAGAAGAAGAAGAGAAAAGAGGGGAAAAUAAGGAAAAAAGGAAGAGAUUAGGAGAAAACAAGUUUAAAGAUAAUCCUGAUAUUCUACCAGUGGGUCAUCAAUAGGAUUUCCUUCGGUAUCUGCUUUUGAGUGUUAUUUGUUUUCGAGUCAGGUGAGUGGAUAAUUUUCCAUAUGUAUGAGAAAUAUUAUAAAUAUUUAAUUUGUUAAUAUGAAUUGGAUCAUGCUUCUUGAUAAUAUAUAUGUUGAUUAUUAUCCUUGUUAUGAUAAAGCAUCAUCAAUUGUUGAAUAUGAAUUCUUGAUAUGAACCAGUAUAUAUUUUGAAUUGACUUCUGAAUUGAUAGCUCCUCAUUUGAUUGAUGUCAUGAGUUGAGUCUUGAGAUAUGAAUAUGUCUAUUUGAUUAUGAUUAUGAACAUAUGGUAUGUCAGUCAGAAUACUCAUGCUAACAGGGUAGUGUUAGUCUUUGUGCACAUUGUAUCUGAACCCUAGUUGGUCGGGGGAGUCACCAACCUGUGUGGACUAAUCAUCCCAUAGUACGGAGUCUCAUGUUCAUUGCAUUUUGAUUUUCUAACGAGUUUUACCAUAUGAUAUUCUUGUUAUGGCCUAUUUGAGAAACCUUCCUAUAAGAACCUAGAGUCAUACUUAUAUAUAUAUUUCUCAUUGUAGUAUUACUCACUGAGUUGUUGAACUCAUCCUCUCAUUAUUUAUCUUUUUCAGGCUUAUAGCUUGAUAACAUGUCACUUUUGUUUGACCUUCAGAACCUGCUCUUUUGGUUGUAAUUUGUACCUUUUCCUUUAUGUCUAGUUAGUGCUCCGAAACUAUAAAUUUAUAUAAACUCUUGUAUUAUGACAAUUCAAUUAUAUUAUGAAGUUAGUUUGUUGUUAUUGCUGCGUUGAACUCUGAUUGACUUAUUUGAAGGAUAAGUAUGUAUGUAUGUAAGUUUGGGUUCGUAUAAGUAUGGAACCUUGAAGGGGAACCUUGGAGGGGAACCUUGCCUAUGUGUCGGACAUUGAUCCAGGAAUCGGGUCGUGACAGAAUUCAUCUUUGUUGAAAUUGUUCAAAUCAAAAUCCCCAUAUUAUAAGAGCGAAAUAAGUAAGGGAAACAUAAAACAAUAUAUACAAUCAAGGACAAUAAUCAAGCAAGAAUGACGAUCAUAUAUAUAUAUAUAUAUAGUAAUUAUGUUGUUAUGUGUACCCAAACUCAAGUUUAGUCCAAACCCAAGAACCUAACCUAACCCAUAUAUUUAAAGAGAAUUUUGCCAAAGAAUUGAUUUACCCUUCUCUUCUUUUCUUUUCAUCUAACGUGAAUUUUCUUUCGAUACCAAGGAAUUCAGUUCUAAGCUUAAUUUUUUGUUUAAAAAAGUGUUGAAGAAACAAAUAGGUAUUUUCCUCUUUCGUUAAUUUUCUAUUAGGGAUUUGAUGGUUGAAAAAUUUAAGAAGAGUUUGGAGUUUUUAUUAUGAUUUGAUAGUUGUAUGAUUUAACAUAUUUAAUAAAUAUUUUAGGGUGUUAGUUGGCUUAAAACGAAUUGAUGACUAGAAUUAUGGAUCUUGAAGAACAAAUUGAUUGUUUUUUAGAUUUACAGAUUUGAAGAGUGGUAAAUCGAGAUUCUAGAAAUCCUGAUUAACCGGUCAACUAAUUGGUCUAGACUAGCUGACUAGUUAAUUUGAUGAUGCCAGUUGACCAGUUGGCUUUUAAUGGCAGUCAACUAGUUGGUCAUUUCGGUCGACUAGUUGAUCCAAUAGUUGGGGUUAAUCAGGUUUGUUAAGUUUAAUUAAUUUUAGAUAUGUUCGAGAUCGAUUAGAUAAAUCAGUAUGAUUUUAUAAUUAUAUUUUAGAUUUUAAGUUUAGAGUUUCAAUCUUUUAUAUUAAUUCCUUCAAAUCGUGUUUUAGUGUUUUUUAUUAUCUGGUAUAGGUUAUGUUGGCAUUUCUACUAAGAGAUCCUUGGCAGUUUCCUCCGUUUUUCGCUGACAGCUUGAAACUAUCAGCGUAUUAGUAACAAUAGAGACACUCGUCUUUUACAUUUUUUCAAUGCAUGAUUGACAUGUUCCAAGUGUUUCAUUGAAUGUGUGUAAUUGUUGUUACUGAUUUGUUUAAAUAUUCAAUAUUCGAUGUCUGCUUUCGGACGUGUUGGUAACUCUUGUUGCUUCACGGAGAUUUUUAUCGCAUCAGGUAAACUUGUGCACCGUUUCCCUUCUGUUGUUAUGUUUGGUGCUAUGCAGUUAGGUGCGAGGCUGUGCUAGCUAAUAUGAUUGGUGCCCAUGGCUCUCCUGGCAAGGUUCCAUAACUCUCUGAGGUUAAUUGUAGCAAACUAUUUCUAAACACUACUUGUUGCAACCCUCUGAAAUUUAUUUUGUGGCUUAUGAACUAUUUUAACAAACACUAGACCUCCUAAAAUUUGACCAACCGUUAAUGGACAGAACUCUUUGAUAACCAGAACACUAGACCUUCUAAAAUUUGACCAACCGUUCCUUACCCUUGCUUGAGAAAUAUUGUUAUCUUGCUCGGAUAACUGCGUUGUGUAAAAUGUAUAUUAGCAUGCAUUAUAUUUAUUA